GUGAAUCAUCAAAUUUUUGAACGCAAAUUGCGCCUUCUUUCGGGAGGCAUGUCUGUUUGAGGGCACCAUUUAACAAAUAAUGUGCGGGUCGCUAUGCGGCGUGCACACGGUGAUGAGCUUUUCCGUAAAACCAGGUUUUUUUGGGGGCGAAUAUUGAACAGCUUGGGGUUUUUUUUUUGUUUCUCGUGUAGUUAGUAAAUUUUCCACGCUUGGUUUGAGAAAUAGUGCUAGCUGCGCCAUGGGCGUGGCG
This 250-nucleotide unclassified non-coding RNA is filed under the name Paraglomerales sp. RNAcentral describes it as "partial contains 5.8S ribosomal RNA and internal transcribed spacer 2". The stretch from base 1 to 66 matches the Rfam family "5.8S ribosomal RNA", at positions 84 to 154 of the family's 154-position model. The record is from RNAcentral. Lineage: Eukaryota; Fungi; Glomeromycota; Glomeromycetes; Paraglomerales.